UGACCUCGGAUCAGGUAGGACUACCCGCUGAACUUAAGCAUAUCAAUAAGCGGAGGAAAAGAAACCAACAGGGAUUGCCCCAGUAACGGCGAGUGAAGCGGCAACAGCUCAAAUUUGAAAUCUGGCCCUCGGGUCCGAGUUGUAAUUUGGAGAGGAUGCUUUUGGCGCGGCGCCGUCCGAGUUCCUUGGAACAGGACGCCAUAGAGGGUGAGAGCCCCGUACGGGCGGCCGCCUAGCCUCUGUAAAGCUCCUUCGACGAGUCGAGUAGUUUGGGAAUGCUGCUCAAAAUGGGAGGUAAAUUUCUUCUAAAGCUAAAUACUGGCCAGAGACCGAUAGCGCACAAGUAGAGUGAUCGAAAGAUGAAAAGCACUUUGAAAAGAGGGUUAAAAAGUACGUGAAAUUGUUGAAAGGGAAGCGCCUGUGACCAGACUUGCGGCCCGUGGACCAUCCGGUGUUCUUCACCGGUGCACUCUGCGGGCUGCAGGCCAGCAUCGGUUCUCCUAGGGGGAUAAAGGUCGCGGGAACGUAGCUCUUUCGGGAGUGU
This 544-nucleotide ribosomal RNA is filed under the name Hyalorhinocladiella sp. RBE2P-1-8-H3. RNAcentral's name for it is "eukaryotic LSU rRNA". It matches the Rfam family "Eukaryotic large subunit ribosomal RNA", at positions 1 to 554 of the family's 3401-position model. Lineage: Eukaryota; Fungi; Ascomycota; Sordariomycetes; Ophiostomatales; Ophiostomataceae. The record is from RNAcentral.